AUGAGUCCGUGACUUCGAACGAUUGAGCUCAACAUUCUCCCUUCCUUCGAACUCUUUAGAAUUGAAGAUCUCCGACGUCCUACGCCCGAUGGCGACGCUCUGCCUGCGUUAAGGGAAGAAGGGGCAUCUCAACAGCCAUACCUUUUUGAAUUAAAGAAGUGGCAUUUCUUUGAUUAUGGAAAGCGUCUCUUGAAAUCUUAGCUUUGCCCGCGUUAAGGGAAGGAGCAUGUCAACAGCCAGGAAGAGAUCCUGUUCUCAGAGACAGCGAUGCUCAGAAGCAAUGCAGUUGCGAAGAAAAUCUUUGCCACAUGAAAAUGCACUGCACCACACGGUUAUUCUUUACCAGGGCACAACCAAUGAUGUGACAGCCUUUCUAAUCCUUGGAAGAAGUCAGAUAAAAGACAUAGCGACACUGAUAUUUUAAGAGUGGGUCAAAAAAUUAAUACAGUGAUGGUGAUUAACAGGGGAGGGGAGGCACCCAAUUUUGUUAUUUGGAAAAUUCUGGCAGUGCGACUACCAAUAUGCUCAUGACUAGAGCAGAAGACCUCUUAAUUAGUAUUGGAAUAAUAACAUAAAAGG
This is a non-coding RNA of Phoenix dactylifera (date palm), 579 nucleotides long. The record is from RefSeq and is a predicted model, not a curated record. NCBI's taxonomy places the organism in Eukaryota, Viridiplantae, Streptophyta, Magnoliopsida, Arecales, Arecaceae.